UCCCUGGUGGUCCAGGGACUUAGACUCUGCACUCCCAAUGCAGGGGGCCUGGGUUCAAUCCCUAGUCAGGGAA
Transfer RNA from Ovis aries (sheep), 73 nucleotides. It matches the Rfam family "tRNA". From Rfam's summary of the family: Transfer RNA (tRNA) molecules are approximately 80 nucleotides in length. Their secondary structure includes four short double-helical elements and three loops (D, anti-codon, and T loops). Further hydrogen bonds mediate the characteristic L-shaped molecular structure. tRNAs have two regions of fundamental functional importance: the anti-codon, which is responsible for specific mRNA codon recognition, and the 3' end, to which the tRNAs corresponding amino acid is attached (by aminoacyl-tRNA synthetases). tRNAs cope with the degeneracy of the genetic code in two manners: having more than one tRNA (with a specific anti-codon) for a particular amino acid; and 'wobble' base-pairing, i.e. permitting non-standard base-pairing at the 3rd anti-codon position. The record is from Rfam. NCBI's taxonomy places the organism in Eukaryota, Metazoa, Chordata, Mammalia, Artiodactyla, Bovidae.